This 407-nucleotide unclassified non-coding RNA is filed under the name Hevea brasiliensis (rubber tree). Lineage: Eukaryota; Viridiplantae; Streptophyta; Magnoliopsida; Malpighiales; Euphorbiaceae. The record is from RNAcentral.
AGUAUUCUCACCCGGGAGUACUCCAAAAUCUGUAAACUAGCUGACAAAAGUGUAAUGGCGUCUUCUGGUUUUCAAGCUGAUGUCAAAGCCCUACAAAAGCAUUUGGCAGCCAGGCACUUGAUCUAUCAACACCAACACAACAAGCAAAUGAGCUGUCCUGCCAUGGCUCAACUACUCUCGAACACUCUCUACUAUAAACGCUUCUUUCCGUACUAUGCUUUUAAUGUUCUAGGUGGUCUUGAUAGUGAAGGAAAGGGCUGUGUCUACACUUAUGAUGCUGUUGGUUCCUAUGAGAGGGUUGGAUAUAGUGCUCAGGGUUCUGGUUCCACUCUUAUCAUGCCUUUCCUGGAUAACCAACUGAAGUCUCCCAGUCCUCUCUUAUUGCCUGCCCAGGAUGCUGUAACUCC